GUUGGAGACUUCAGAGAUGGAUUGGUGCCUUCGGGAACUCUGAGACAGGUGCUGCAUGGCUGUCGUCAGCUCGUGUUGUGAAAUGUUGGGUUAAGUCCCGCAACGAGCGCAACCCUUAUCCUUGUUUGCCAGCAAGUAAUGUGGGGAACUCCAGGGAAACUGCCGGUGAUAAACCGAAGAAAGGGGGGGACAACUUCAAGUCUUCUGGGCCCUUACAAGAGGGGUUACCCACGUGCUACAUGGGCGCAUACAAAGGGCGGCCAACUUGCAAGAGUGAGCAAAUCCCAAAAAGUGGGUCGUAUUCCGGAUUGAAUUCUGCAACUCGACUCCUUGAAGUCGGAAUCGCUAGUAAUCGUGGAUCAAAAUGCCACGGUGAAUACUUUCCCGGGUCUUGUACACCCGGA
RNAcentral lists this ribosomal RNA (404 nucleotides) under uncultured bacterium. RNAcentral describes it as "bacterial SSU rRNA". It matches the Rfam family "Bacterial small subunit ribosomal RNA", at positions 990 to 1387 of the family's 1533-position model. The record is from RNAcentral.